This 215-nucleotide ribosomal RNA is filed under the name uncultured bacterium. RNAcentral's name for it is "partial 16S ribosomal RNA". It matches the Rfam family "Bacterial small subunit ribosomal RNA", at positions 1286 to 1500 of the family's 1533-position model. The record is from RNAcentral.
UCUCAGUUCAGAUUGCAGGCUGCAACUCGCCUGCAUGAAGUCGGAAUUGCUAGUAAUCGCAGAUCAGCAUGCUGCGGUGAAUACGUUCCCGGGCCUUGUACACACCGCCCGUCACACCAUGGGAGUCGGUAACACCCGAAGUCGGUAGCCUAACCGUAAGGAGGGCGCCGCCGAAGGUGGGAUUGAUGACUGGGGUGAAGUCGUAACAAGGUAGC